This 440-nucleotide ribosomal RNA is filed under the name uncultured bacterium. RNAcentral describes it as "partial 16S ribosomal RNA". It matches the Rfam family "Bacterial small subunit ribosomal RNA", at positions 338 to 795 of the family's 1533-position model. The record is from RNAcentral.
CCUACGGGUGGCUGCAGUGGGGAAUAUUGCACAAUGGGGGAAACCCUGAUGCAGCGACGCCGCGUGAGUGAAGAAGUAUUUCGGUUUGUAAAGUUCUAUCAGCAGGGAAGAUAAUGACGUUACUUACCUAAGAAGCCCCGGCUAAUUCCGUCCCAGCAGCCGCGGUAAUACGCAGGGGGCAAGCGUUAUCCGGAUUUACUGGGGGUAAAGGGUGCGUAGGUGGCAGGGCAAGUCAGAUGUGAAAGCCCGGGGCUCAACCCCGGUACUGCAAUUGAAACUGUCCAGCUGGAGUGCAGUAGAGGUAAGCGGAAUUCCUAGUGUAGCGGUGAAAUGCGUAGAGAUUAGGAGGAACACCAGUGGCGAAGGCGGCUUACUGGACUGUAACUGACACUGAGGCACGAAAGCGUGGGGAGCAAACAGGAUUAGAUACCCCAGUAGUC